GGGAUUUCAAAGGGACUGACGCCGCAAUACAAAGGGACUCAUAAUCCCUUGGUCGCAGGCUCGAGUCCUGCUGGGCCCACCA
This 82-nucleotide transfer RNA is filed under the name Litorivicinaceae bacterium. Its description in RNAcentral is "tRNA-Ser". The record is from RNAcentral. Lineage: Bacteria; Pseudomonadati; Pseudomonadota; Gammaproteobacteria; Oceanospirillales; Litorivicinaceae.